UACAGAGGGUGCGAGCGUUGUUCGGAAUUAUUGGGCGUAAAGGGCGCGUAGGCGGUGCGGUAAGUCACUUGUGAAAUCUCCUGGCUCAACUGGGAGCUUGCAGGCGAAACUGCCGUGCUGGAGUGUGGGAGAGGUGCGUGGAAUUCCCGGUGUAGCGGUGAAAUGCGUAGAUAUCUGGAGGAACACCGGUGGCGAAGGCGGCGACCUGGGUAGAUACUGACGCUGAGGUGCGAAAGCGUGGGGAGCAACAGG
RNAcentral lists this ribosomal RNA (252 nucleotides) under uncultured bacterium. Its description in RNAcentral is "partial 16S ribosomal RNA". It matches the Rfam family "Bacterial small subunit ribosomal RNA", at positions 524 to 775 of the family's 1533-position model. The record is from RNAcentral.